This 182-nucleotide non-coding RNA is filed under the name Pseudomonadota bacterium. RNAcentral's name for it is "6S RNA". It matches the Rfam family "6S / SsrS RNA". Rfam says of the family: E. coli 6S RNA was the first non coding RNA to be sequenced, but its function was unknown until recently. It consists of 184 nucleotides that fold into an extended hairpin structure with a large single-stranded internal bulge. Lineage: Bacteria; Pseudomonadati; Pseudomonadota. The record is from RNAcentral.
GUUCCCCUGCGUGGUACGUGAUCGGGAACGGAUGCGUCGAACCGAUACUCCAUCACAGGGGGCACUUCCUACCGACCGCCAGCAGACCUUCCGAGCGAAGGGAGCAGGCGCCGGUGUCAGCGGCCCCCACCUGCUGAAGCAGGGUUCGAUGGAUGCUCCCACACGGCCAAGGCGGGGGAUCU